RNAcentral lists this ribosomal RNA (254 nucleotides) under uncultured bacterium. RNAcentral's name for it is "partial 16S ribosomal RNA". It matches the Rfam family "Bacterial small subunit ribosomal RNA", at positions 524 to 776 of the family's 1533-position model. The record is from RNAcentral.
GACAGAGGGUGCAAACGUUGCUCGGAAUCAUUGGGCGUAAAGCGCACGUAGGCGGUUCGUUAUGUCGGAUGUGAAAGCCCUUGGCUUAACCGAGGAAGUGCAUCCGAAACUGGCGAGCUAGAGUACGAAAAGAGGAUCGCGGAAUUCCCGGUGUAGAGGUGAAAUUCGUAGAUAUCGGGAGGAACACCGGUGGCGAAGGCGGCGAUCUGGGUCGAUACUGACGCUGAGGUGCGAAAGCGUGGGGAGCAAACAGG